Molecule: unclassified non-coding RNA, 245 nt
Filed under: Glomeraceae sp.
Lineage: Eukaryota; Fungi; Glomeromycota; Glomeromycetes; Glomerales; Glomeraceae
Description: partial contains 5.8S ribosomal RNA and internal transcribed spacer 2
Rfam family: 5.8S ribosomal RNA (bases 1-71)
Source: RNAcentral
GUGAAUCAUCGAAUCUUUGAACGCAAAUUGCGCUUCCUGGCAUUCCGGGAAGUAUGCCUGUUUGAGGGUCAGUAUUAAUAAAAAAUCGGUUUCGUUACUAAUUGUGACGUUUCCGGGGUUUGGGCUAUCUUAACAUUUUUGGUUACGAGGUUUCAAAUUGACCUUUUUUUCGCCUUUUUAAACGUACAUAAAUUUUUUUAUUCGCCUAUUCUUAAUCCCAAACUCUUUUUCGUUGCGUCCACUUC